This 302-nucleotide long non-coding RNA is filed under the name Phasianus colchicus (ring-necked pheasant). Its description in RNAcentral is "lncRNA (ENSPCLG00000020267.1)". The record is from RNAcentral. Lineage: Eukaryota; Metazoa; Chordata; Aves; Galliformes; Phasianidae.
ACUUAUGGGGCAGCCCCCCAUUAUGGGUCCCACCCCGCACUUAUGGCUCCCAGCCCCCACUUAUGGGUCCCAGCCCAAAUCUAUGGGUCCCAGCCCCCCAUUAUGAGUCCCGUCCCCCACUUAUGGGUCCCAACCCCCACUUAUGGGUCCCACCCCAAACCUAUGGGUCCCACCCCAAACCUAUGGCUCCCAGCCCCCACUUACGGGUCCCACCCCACACUUAUGGGGCAGCCCUAAUCUAUGGGUCCCGCCCCCCACUUAUGGGUCCCACCCCCACUUAUGGGGCAGCCCAACUCUUAUGG